RNAcentral lists this transfer RNA (71 nucleotides) under Marmota monax (woodchuck). It matches the Rfam family "tRNA". From Rfam's summary of the family: Transfer RNA (tRNA) molecules are approximately 80 nucleotides in length. Their secondary structure includes four short double-helical elements and three loops (D, anti-codon, and T loops). The record is from Rfam by way of RNAcentral. Lineage: Eukaryota; Metazoa; Chordata; Mammalia; Rodentia; Sciuridae.
GAGGUUGUGGCUCAGUGGUAGAGUGCUUGCCUAGCACACAUGAGGCACUGGGUUCAAUCCUCAGUACCACA